GUGGGGAAUUUUGGACAAUGGGGGCAACCCUGAUCCAGCCAUGCCGCGUGCGGGAAGAAGGCCUUCGGGUUGUAAACCGCUUUUGUCAGGGAAGAAAUCCUUUGGGUUAAUACCUCGGAGGGAUGACGGUACCUGAAGAAUAAGCACCGGCUAACUACGUGCCAGCAGCCGCGGUAAUAAGUAGGGUGCGAGCGUUAAUCGGAAUUACUGGGCGUAAAGCGUGCGCAGGCGGUUUUGUAAGAUCGAUGUGAAAUCCCCGGGCUCAACCUGGGAACUGCAUUGGUGAAUGCAAGGCUGGAGUGCGGCAGAGGGGGAUGGAAUUCCGCGUGUAGCAGUGAAAUGCGUAGAUAUGCGGAGGAACACCGAUGGCGAAGGCAAUCCCCUGGGCCUGCACUGACGCUCAUGCACGAAAGCGUGGGGAGCAAACAGGAUUAGAAACCCUGGUAGUCC
This 450-nucleotide ribosomal RNA is filed under the name uncultured bacterium. Its description in RNAcentral is "partial 16S ribosomal RNA". It matches the Rfam family "Bacterial small subunit ribosomal RNA", at positions 354 to 796 of the family's 1533-position model. The record is from RNAcentral.